UGUUCCUGGCCCUAGAAAUCCCUAAAUCUCAAGCAUUCAAACUCUCAUCUAGAUAUAGAGUUGUCGAAUCGGUUUUGAUUUUGUCGCUCAAUCGAACAAGGUUCAAUCGAAUAUUAUGAUUAUGAAGACGAAAACAAAGACAAAGAAGAUUAUGAAGGGGAAGGAGUCAAGAAGUUGAUUUCGUCAGAGAGAAUGUAACAAGGUGUUUAUUGAUGUUUAUUCUAGACUUCAUUUUGAAGAUCUGACCAAGAGCAUUGGAAACUGAAUGCCAACAAUUUGAAGUUUACUCCA
Molecule: long non-coding RNA, 291 nt
Organism: Helianthus annuus (common sunflower)
Lineage: Eukaryota; Viridiplantae; Streptophyta; Magnoliopsida; Asterales; Asteraceae
Exons: 4
Source: RefSeq, a predicted model, not a curated record